CUGCAGCAUCCUGGCGACGGUGCUGGGCCCUUCCCAGGAACUUCCAAGGCUCCCUUUACUCCCUGCUAUCUGUGACAUAGAAGCUAUAGAGGAAACUGUCUGAUGAGGAUUCGUCGAAGCCAUGCUUGUCUCACUGAUGCUUUCUCCUACAGCCUGCUCCUGUCUUGGUUUUUCGCACAAAACAAGAAAGGAAAAAAAUUAAGGGUAAGGUCCCCUUUUCCAAGUGGCCAGAAUUGCAGUGCAAAAUGCAUAGUGAAUGUAAGUCUUUCCCGAAUUGCAUGUCUGCGAUGCCGGGCAAAAACACCUUUAAAUAGCUUAAGUUACUACUAAGCCAAACACUGUGAAAUGGUUUUUAUGGCAAUUGACGACGAUUUUAAACUGCGUCUCCACAAGAAUACUGGCAUGCAUGUUACAGUUAUUUCCCCUCUUUAAAACCAAAGGCAGUAACCAUUUGAGGAAUUCGGACUAAUCCAAACUUUAAGGGGAACAUUUUCCCCCAUUGUGUGAAGCCUUUAACGAGCUGGGAUUUAAUUGGGGUCUGAACUUUGAAUGCGUGUAUUUUUUCCCUAUUGGCAGGGGGCAUGUUUGCAAACAGAUCUUUAACUUAUAGCUAUAAAACCGUGCGGCGUCCGGGGGGCCAGGCUGUGUAACCGUGUGUGCGUGCGUGCCGCUGCUCAACGCUUCCCCUUUCCGCCGCACUCCCCCUCCCCGC
This 712-nucleotide long non-coding RNA is filed under the name Struthio camelus australis. RNAcentral's name for it is "lncRNA (ENSSCUG00000015074.1)". The record is from RNAcentral. Lineage: Eukaryota; Metazoa; Chordata; Aves; Struthioniformes; Struthionidae.